GUUGAUCCCGCUCGCGGUUUCUUUUCUAUUCAUUUUCCGCCGUCCGUCUAGUCCGUUUUUUUCUUUUUUGUUUUACCGAAAAUUAUUUAUCGGUUUUUCUUUACUCAUGUGGAUUUGAUGUGUAACGUUAUUGUUGAACGCUUACACACGGCUGUGAAACGAAGAAAACAUAAUACAUUUAAAAUAUAGUUUGUUUUUUUAUCAGCGUUAAGUACGUUCAAUACGAUUUGUUUUGCCAAACGAUAUAGGGAGAUAGCUGUUGUUUGAUUUAUUUAUACUUUUUUUGAACGGAAAUGAAUUGAAUUCAAAGGGUCUUCGGUGCUAACGAUACUGUUCAAAACGUUCACAGCUAUAAAACAACGAGUACUCGUUAUGAGUGUUACAACAUCAGUCGUUACACUUGGACGAAAGGAAAUUAAAACUUUUGCGAUGUAAUGUAAAUAAGAAAACCCGGUAAGUUCUACCUUUUUUCUUUCCACUGUACAUGUUUUUAAAAUUUGUUGAUUACAUAAAUUUUUAUUCGUCUUACCAAAAAAUAAAAAGCAACGUGAUUGACGUCAAUGAUAUUUUUAUAAACACAAUCGGAUAUAAAAAGUAUGUAUACAAUACUUUUUAGAAUUCUGUUGUUCACGCCUAUGUUUAUUAGGUCUAUCGUUCGACUACGAUUUAAUCGUGUCUUUAUAUUACGUUAAACGAUUGGAAAUUUGUUUUUUUUAAACACGUUAAAUACAUUCAAAUUGAUUUAUUUUUCCAAUUCGUUAUGAAAUAAAUGUACCGAGUAUGUUGGUUCUCUACCUUUUUUGUAAAUUAUCUUUUUCGUACUACAUUACAUUUUACAUUAAUUACUAUUCGUUUUUCCAAAAUAUAUUAGAACAGAGCUUUUGUUUUACCGAGAAACAUGAGGAGAUAUAGGUAAUCGGAUGUUUUCAUUACAUACACCUGCAAUAUUGAUUUGAUGUGAAAUGCUGUAAUGAUAUUAUAAAAUGCACACACAGCUAUAAAAUAAUGAAGUAAACAUGGGAGAUGUCUGUUGUAUGUUUUCAUUAAACAUUUUCUUUGUUAAGGAAUAAUGCAGUUACUACUUCGGUACUAAUGAUUAACUAAUAAAAACAAACACAACUAUAAACUAAAGAAAACAUGGUAUGCCAUGCAUUUUUCAACUCAUUCUUUCAAUUAUAUAUGUUGAAUGUUAUAUUUUCGGUUUGUAUAAAUAAAUCUUACAGUAUCAGUUUUUACACUUGGAUGAAAGGAAAUGAAUAUAAAUUAAAACUUAUGUGAUAUUAUAAGGAUAAUAGUAAACCCAGUAUGUUUUAGUCUUAAUGUAAAUUA
Molecule: long non-coding RNA, 1329 nt
Organism: Sipha flava (yellow sugarcane aphid)
Lineage: Eukaryota; Metazoa; Arthropoda; Insecta; Hemiptera; Aphididae
Exons: 4
Source: RefSeq, a predicted model, not a curated record